CCACUAUGCCUAGCCCUAAAUCCAGAUGCCUAUUUUACUAAGACAUCCGCCAGAGAACUACGAGCACAAACGCUUAAAACUCUAAGGACUUGGCGGUGUCCUACACCCACCUAGAGGAGCCUGUUCUGUAAUCGAUAACCCACGAUACACCCAACCUCUCCUUGCCAAAGCAGCCUACAUACCGCCGUCGCCAGCUUACCCCCAAUGAAGGAACCACAGUAAGCAAAAUAGUCACAUCACUAACAAGACAGGUCAAGGUAUAGCCCAUGGAGAGGAAGAAAUGGGCUACAUUCUCUAACAUAGGGAACCACCAACGAAAGGGGGCGUGAAACCGCCCCCAGAAGGCGGAUUUAGCAGUAAAGCAGGACAAAAGAGCCUGCUUUAAGUCGGCCCUAGGACACGU
Molecule: ribosomal RNA, 403 nt
Filed under: Coracias garrulus (European roller)
Lineage: Eukaryota; Metazoa; Chordata; Aves; Coraciiformes; Coraciidae
Description: partial 12S ribosomal RNA
Rfam family: Bacterial small subunit ribosomal RNA
Source: RNAcentral